Homo sapiens (human) is the source of this 1750-nucleotide long non-coding RNA. Ensembl annotates it as PAX6 upstream antisense RNA. Its record names the gene PAUPAR. The record is from Ensembl. NCBI's taxonomy places the organism in Eukaryota, Metazoa, Chordata, Mammalia, Primates, Hominidae.
GAAGGGCACGGGCAUGAGAAGGCGACAGAGGAGGUCCUCGGCUCGCCCUGGGCGCGGAGCGAGGACUCUGGUCAGAGGUAAUUAUGUCACCGCGUUUUCUCGCCGUGACAGCCGAAUAAACACGAUCUCCAAUAAACAUCUCUAAUGAGGGAGGAGGCCCGAGGAUGGCUGGGUUUGAUUUAUGACUGGAGGAGAAGGUCCACUUCCCACUGCGAAGCAGGCGACCUGCUCGCCGCCCAGCUCCAGGGAGAGGAACCCGCGGAGGAGAGGAUCCCGGCCCAGUCUUUUUGAGGUUAUACUUCUCUGAUUGAUGCCUUCAGUACCAAGUUGAAUAGCUAUGAUGGCAGGAGUUGGAGCAGCCAUUUUGGGCCAUGAGAUGAAAGCCUUAUAUUGAGCCAUGUUUUGAGCAGAAGAACAGAAAAGAAAGAACCUGGGCCCCUGACAUUACUGAGCCACCAUAAAGACCUAGGCUCUCUACUUGAACUUCAGAAUAAGGAUAAUAAGAGUAUCAACCUCAGAGGAUCACUGCAAGAAUUGAGUGGGAUACAUAUGACGUGCUUAGCACAGUUUGUGGCCCAUGUGGUUCCACCUCCUACCUAUAAUGGAGAUGGGGACUUGUGGGGUGACAUUGUGCCGCUUCCAGGCUUUUAGCAGGCAACUUCUCCUGGCUCGGAUGAUCUAGAGCAGUGAUUUUCCAGCAGUUCCUGGGGGUCUGGUGAGAAGAAGACAGGCCUGGAGUUGAAGGAGAGAAAAAAGGCUGGGCUGGCCUGUUGGAAGGAGACUUCCACCUCUGCAAGCAUCCCCAUCUUGUUUGGAUUGCAAACUCAGUUGCCAGCCAAGCAAGAUGAGGGGAACGGCUUUGGACUCGGGCUGACUUGGACCACAUCCCAUCUCUGCCGCCAUCUGAGCUCUGUGACCGUGAAGUGCUCCUACCACCCUUCUGAGCUUUUGUUUUCUUCACCUGUAAAAGUGCAGGAAGAAUACUUACCUGUCACCAGAAUAUUCCAAGAAUUAGAAUUAAUGUUUGGAAAGUUGUUGACACCUAGCAGGUACUCAAAAAAUGGUGGCUAUUACUACUACAUUCUACAGUCUCUGCGCUACUUUGAAAGGACUUGCUUCUAGGGGAGCUUAUUUCUAAUGGGGAGAUAUUUUGGUUUUGAAGUAAAAUCUAUACCGUGUUAGAUGGGAGGUGUGCUUUAGAGAAAAAAUAAAGCAGGGAUGGGAGACUGAGAUGGCUGGGGAGCCUGAGGAAAGCCCCAUUUAUAGGUCUAAGAAUGAGAGAGAGUUUCUUUCUUAAAUUCCCUCUCCCUACUUUAUCAAAGAGAUUUUACUUCCAAAUAAGUGUAAACGGGAAAAGGGAACAGAGCCUGAAAGACACUCAAAACAGACACUCAAAAAUGCUGUCCUAGGGAGUCAGCUGGGGUGUCAUCACUGACGUGGGACUUAGGGUGUUGAGCUGGAGUCCUGGUUUGUCAUUUGAAAAGAGAAAUCCUGAUCAAGUUGUUGUACUGCUCUUUGACUCUAUUUCCUUAACUGUAAAUUAGAGGUAAGAAUCCCUGUCUCACGUGCACGAGCAGGAGAGGCUUUCUGGUCUGUUGGGAUUCUCAGAUUCACAAGGAUCAGGACGUGGCCAUUGAAAGCUGCCAUCCCAAGAGGCAAAACUAUGGAAGAUAGGAAGGAAAUCCGUACUUACCUCACUCUGCUCCCUCCUCCUUUCCGUGCCUGCGUGCACACACACACGCAUGCACAC